RNAcentral lists this ribosomal RNA (727 nucleotides) under uncultured bacterium. RNAcentral describes it as "bacterial SSU rRNA". It matches the Rfam family "Bacterial small subunit ribosomal RNA", at positions 505 to 1231 of the family's 1533-position model. The record is from RNAcentral.
GUGCCAGCAGCCGCGGUAAUACGGAGGGCGCAAGCGUUACUCGGAAUCACUGGGCGUAAAGAGCGUGUAGGCGGGUAGUUAAGUUGGAAGUGAAAUCCUAUGGCUCAACCAUAGAACUGCUUCCAAAACUGAUUACCUAGAAUAUGGGAGAGGUAGAUGGAAUUUCUGGUGUAUGGGUAAAAUCCGUAGAGAUCAGAAGGAAUACCGAUUGCGAAGCGAUCUACUGGAACAUUAUUGACGCUGAGACGCGAAAGCGUGGGGAGCCAAACAGGAUUAGAUACCCUGGUUAGUCCACGCCCUAAACGAUGUACAUUAGUUGUUGUGAGGCUAGACCUUGCAGUAAUGCAGUUAACACCAUUAAAUGUACCGCCUGGGGAGUACGGUCGCAAGAUUAAAACUCAAAGGAAUAGACGGGGACCCGCACAAGCGGUGGAGCAUGUGGUUUAAUUCGACGAUACGCGAAGAACCUUACCUAGCCUUGACAUAUAUUAGAACAUUUUAGAGAUAGAAUGGUGCCUUCGGGAGCUUUUAUACAGGUGCUGCACGGCUGUCGUCAGCUCGUGUCGUGAGAUGUUGGGUUAAGUCCCGCAACGAGCGCAACCCUCGUCACUAGUUACUAACGGUUCGGCCGAAGACUCUAGUGAGACUGCCUUCGCAAGGAAGAAGAAGGUGAGGACAACUCAAGUCAUCAUGGCCCUUACGGCUAGGGCAACACACGUGCUACAUG